RNAcentral lists this ribosomal RNA (549 nucleotides) under uncultured Glomus. RNAcentral's name for it is "SSU rRNA". It matches the Rfam family "Eukaryotic small subunit ribosomal RNA", at positions 548 to 1098 of the family's 1831-position model. Lineage: Eukaryota; Fungi; Glomeromycota; Glomeromycetes; Glomerales; Glomeraceae. The record is from RNAcentral.
UUGGAGGGCAAGUCUGGUGCCAGCAGCCGCGGUAAUUCCAGCUCCAAUAGCGUAUAUUAAAGUUGUUGCAGUUAAAAAGCUCGUAGUUGAAUUUCGGGGUCAGUAGGUUGGUCGUGCCACUGGUAUGUACUGGUCUCACUGAUUCCUCCUUCCUGAUGAGCUGUAAUGCCAUUAAUUUGGUGUUGCAGGGAAUCUGGACUGUUACUUUGAAAAAAUUAGAGUGUUUAAAGCAGGCUAACGCUUGAAUACAUUAGCAUGGAAUAAUGAAAUAGGACGUUCGAUCCUAUUUUGUUGGUUUCUAGGAUUGACGUAAUGAUUAAUAGGGAUAGUUGGGGGCAUUAGCAUUCAAUUGUCAGAGGUGAAAUUCUUGGAUUUAUUGAAGACUAACUACUGCGAAAGCAUUUGCCAAGGAUGUUUUCAUUAAUCAGGAACGAAAGUUAGGGGAUCGAAGACGAUCAGAUACCGUCGUGGUCUUAACCAUAAACUAUGCCGACUAGGGAUCGGAUGAUGUUAAUUUUUUAAUGACUCAUUCGGCGCCUUACGGGAAAC